CACUCCUACGGGGAGGCAGCAGUGGGGAAUAUUGCACAAUGGGGGAAACCCUGAUGCAGCCAUGCCGCGUGUGUGAAGAAGGCCUUCGGGUUGUAAAGCACUUUCAGUAGGGAGGAAGGUAGUGUAGUUAACACCUGCAUUAUUUGACGUUACCUACAGAAGAAGCACCGGCUAACUCCGUGCCAGCAGCCGCGGUAAUACGGAGGGUGCGAGCGUUAAUCGGAAUUACUGGGCGUAAAGCGCAUGCAGGCGGCCUGUUAAGUCAGAUGUGAAAGCCCGGGGCUUAACCUCGGAAUUGCAUUUGAAACUGGCAGGCUAGAGUCUUGUAGAGGGGGGUAGGAAUUUCAGGUGUAGCGGUGAAAUGCGUAGAGAUCUGAAGGAAUACCAGUGGCGAAGGCGGCCCCCUGGACAAAGACUGACGCUCAGAUGCGAAAGCGUGGGGAGCAAACAGGAUUAGAUACCCUGGUAG
RNAcentral lists this ribosomal RNA (469 nucleotides) under uncultured bacterium. RNAcentral describes it as "bacterial SSU rRNA". It matches the Rfam family "Bacterial small subunit ribosomal RNA", at positions 334 to 793 of the family's 1533-position model. The record is from RNAcentral.